GCGGGAGUGGCGGAAUGGUAGACGCGUUGGUCUCAAACACCAAUGACUUCGCGGUCGUGCGGGUUCGAGUCCCGCCUCCCGCA
RNAcentral lists this transfer RNA (83 nucleotides) under Bacteroidota bacterium. RNAcentral describes it as "Bacteroidetes bacterium tRNA-Leu". It matches the Rfam family "tRNA". Rfam says of the family: Transfer RNA (tRNA) molecules are approximately 80 nucleotides in length. Their secondary structure includes four short double-helical elements and three loops (D, anti-codon, and T loops). RNAcentral also lists the same sequence under 2 other names. The record is from RNAcentral. Lineage: Bacteria; Pseudomonadati; Bacteroidota.